This 274-nucleotide ribosomal RNA is filed under the name uncultured bacterium. RNAcentral's name for it is "partial 16S ribosomal RNA". It matches the Rfam family "Bacterial small subunit ribosomal RNA", at positions 523 to 796 of the family's 1533-position model. The record is from RNAcentral.
AUACGGAGGGUGCAAGCGUUAUCCGGAUUCAUUGGGUUUAAAGGGUACGUAGGUGGAUAGAUAAGUUAGUGGUGAAAUCCCGAAGCUCAACUUCGGAACUGCCAUUAAAACUGUCUAUCUUGAAUUUGGUUGAAGUGGGCGGAAUAUGACAUGUAGCGGUGAAAUGCAUAGAUAUGUCAUGGAACACCGAUAGUGAAGACAGCUCACUAAGCCAAUAUUGACGCUGAGGUACGAAAGCAUGGGUAGCGAACAGGAUUAGAUACCCUAGUAGUCC